Non-coding RNA from Equus caballus (horse), 653 nucleotides. The record is from RefSeq and is a predicted model, not a curated record. Lineage: Eukaryota; Metazoa; Chordata; Mammalia; Perissodactyla; Equidae.
GCUGCACUCACCCCGAACGGCUGUGAGAUCCGCGGCCGCCAGCGGCUCUUCGCUCCUCAGCUAGGAUGAAGCCCCUUGGUCACCCGAGUCUCCAGGUUGAGUCAGGCCCCGGCCUUGGCCCCGCCUCUCCCUGAAUGCCCUUCUGUUGCUGCUUCCAUGGGCCUCACCUUUGCUCUGACUUUCCUUCUCUUGCUUUGGAGGACUCACACUGGAGCUGCUCCUUUAGAGGACCAGGACUCCAUUCUGGGGAUGGUGGAGCAGUGAGUUGGAAGGAAGCUGGAUCCUGAAGGCUGCAUAGAGUAGAGCUGCCAUACUAGCCUGAGUGUCGUGGCCAUUGUGUUCCAUUGUGUUCCUGGGAAACCUCACGUCAUUUAACAUGUACCAGGCAAGUAGGGUUAACUGGACCCACUUUAACAGCUCUGUUUCACUCGUGCAGCUUAACUCAGUAAGAAUUCUGCAGAAAGACUUCAAGCAGAGCUGAGCUUUGUCUUUCGUGGAUGUGCCUUCUGAAUUUCAAGAUGAACACACCAUGAAUAAUAACCAGUGCCUUUUGGGGAUGGUACAUGGCAGUACAAUACACUGGAAGCCUUUUUUAAAAAAAAUUUUUAUCGGAGCUGCACUAUGUCAUUGUGUUUAUUUCCUAGAAAUUAUUG